CGGAGAGUUUGAUCCUGGCUCAGGAUGAACGCUGGCGGCAGGCUUAAUACAUGCAAGUCGAACGGUAAGGCCGACGGUAGCAAUACUGGAGGCACACGAGUGGCGCACGGGUGCGUAACGCGUAUGCAACCUGCCCCCGACCGGGACAAAACGCUGAGAAAUCGGCGCUAAUAUCCCAUGCUGACCAAGGGCGGCAUCGCCCGUGGUCGAAAGAUUGAUUGGUCGGGGAUGGGCAUGCGUGGCAUUAGCUUGUUGGCGGGGUAACGGCCCACCAAGGCGACGAUGCCUAGGGGUUCUGAGAGGAAGGUCCCCCACACUGGAACUGAGACACGGUCCAGACUCCUACGGGAGGCAGCAGUAGGGAAUAUUGGGCAAUGGGAGCAAUCCUGACCCAGCCAUGCCGCGUGAAGGAAGACGGCCCUACGGGUUGUAAACUUCUUUUGCCAGAGAGUAACCGCCGCGACGCGUCGCGGCCUGAGAGUAUCUGGCGAAUAAGCACCGGCUAACUCCGUGCCAGCAGCCGCGGUAGUACGGAGGGUGCAAGCGUUAUCCGGAUUCAUUGGGUUUAAAGGGUGCGCAGGCGGACGGCCAAGUCGUGGGUGAAAUCCCGCCGCUCAACGGUGGACAGUCCUACGAUACUGGUCGACUGGAGUUCUGGUGGCGCGGCCGGAAUGUGACGUGUAGCGGUGAAAUGCAUAGAUAUGUCACAGAACGCCGAUCGUGAAGACAGGCCGCGAACCGGAGACUGACGCUCAGGCACGAAAGCGUGGGUAUCAAACAGGAUUAGAUACCCUGGUAGUCCACGCUGUAAACGAUGACCACUCGUUCCCGGGGGGCGACUCUCGGGGGCCAAGCGAAAGCGAUAAGUGGUCCACCUGGGGAGUACGAUCGCAAGGUUGAAACUCAAAGGAAUUGACGGGGGCCCGCACAAGCGGAGGAGCAUGUGGUUUAAUUCGAUGAUACGCGAGGAACCUUACCCGGGCUUGAACGUGCGACGGCGAUGCAGGAGACUGCAUUUCCCUCCGGGGCGUCGUGCGAGGUGCUGCAUGGUUGUCGUCAGCUCGUGCCGUGAGGUGUUAGGUUAAGUCCUGCAACGAGCGCAACCCCUGCGCGCAGUUGCCAUCAGGUUAUGCUGGGCACUCUGCGCGGACUGCCCGCGCAAGCGGAGAGGAAGGCGGGGAUGACGUCAAAUCAGCACGGCCCUUAUGUCCGGGGCUACACACGUGCUACAAUGGCCGGCACAGAGGGGAGCCACCCAGCGAUGGGGAGCGGAUCCCGAAAGCCGGUCCCAGUUCGGAUCGGAGUCUGCAACCCGACUCCGUGAAGUUGGAUUCGCUAGUAAUCGCGCAUCAGCCAUGGCGCGGUGAAUACGUUCCCGGGCCUUGUACACACCGCCCGUCAAGCCAUGGAAGCCGGUGGUACCUGAAGUCCGUGCCCGCGAGGAGCGGCCUAGGGUAAAACUGGUAACUGGGGCUAAGUCGUAACAAGGUAGCCGUA
Molecule: ribosomal RNA, 1497 nt
Filed under: uncultured rumen bacterium
Lineage: Bacteria
Description: bacterial SSU rRNA
Rfam family: Bacterial small subunit ribosomal RNA
Source: RNAcentral